This 380-nucleotide ribosomal RNA is filed under the name uncultured eukaryote. RNAcentral describes it as "partial 18S ribosomal RNA". It matches the Rfam family "Eukaryotic small subunit ribosomal RNA", at positions 592 to 976 of the family's 1831-position model. The record is from RNAcentral.
CAAUAGCGUAUAUUAAAGUUGUUGCAGUUAAAAAGCUCGUAGUUGGAUUUGUGGCGUACGGUGGGUUCCGGGCACUUGUUGUCUGAGUAACUUGCUGUUGCCAUCCUUGGGUGGAACCUGUGUGGCAUUAGGUUGUCGUGCAGGGGAUGCCCAUCAUUUACUGUGAAAAAAUUAGAGUGUUCAAAGCAGGCUUAUGCCGUUGAAUAUAUUAGCAUGGAGUAAUGAGAUAGGACUUUUUUGCUAUUUUGUUGGUUUGCGCAAAGAGGUAAUGAUUAAUAGGGACAGUUGGGGGUAUUCGUAUUCCAUUGUCAGAGGUGAAAUUCUUGGAUUUUUGGAAGACGAACUACUGCGAAAGCAUUUACCAAGGAUGUUUUCAUUAA